This 253-nucleotide unclassified non-coding RNA is filed under the name uncultured Gammaproteobacteria bacterium. RNAcentral's name for it is "contains 16S-23S intergenic spacer region". It matches the Rfam family "Bacterial small subunit ribosomal RNA", at positions 524 to 776 of the family's 1533-position model. Lineage: Bacteria; Pseudomonadati; Pseudomonadota; Gammaproteobacteria. The record is from RNAcentral.
UACGGAGGGUGCAAGCGUUAAUCGGAAUUACUGGGCGUAAAGCGCACGUAGGUGGCCAUUUAAGUCGGAUGUGAAAGCCCCGGGCUCAACCUGGGAAUUGCAUUCGAUACUGGAUGGCUAGAGUUCGAAAGAGGGAAGUGGAAUUCCAGGUGUAGCGGUGAAAUGCGUAGAUAUCUGGAGGAACAUCAGUGGCGAAGGCGACUUCCUGGUUCGAAACUGACACUGAGGUGCGAAAGCGUGGGGAGCAAACAGG